RNAcentral lists this ribosomal RNA (253 nucleotides) under uncultured bacterium. Its description in RNAcentral is "partial 16S ribosomal RNA". It matches the Rfam family "Bacterial small subunit ribosomal RNA", at positions 524 to 776 of the family's 1533-position model. The record is from RNAcentral.
UACGUAGGGUGCGAGCGUUAAUCGGAAUUACUGGGCGUAAAGCGUGCGCAGGCGGUUCGUUAUGUCCGAUGUGAAAUCCCCGGGCUUAACCUGGGAACUGCAUUUGGGACUGCAAGGCUUGAGUGCGGCAGAGGAGACUGGAAUUCCUGGUGUAGCAGUGAAAUGCGUAGAUAUCAGGAGGAAUACCGAUGGCGAAGGCAGGUCUCUGGGCUGACACUGACGCUCAUGCACGAAAGCGUGGGGAGCAAACAGG